ACAGAGGUCUCAAGCGUUGUUCGGAUUCAUUGGGCGUAAAGGGUGCGUAGGUGGCGGGGUAAGUUGGAUGUGAAAUCCCCGGGCUUAACCUGGGAACUGCGUUUGAAACUACAAGGCUAGAGUGUGGCAGAGGGGGGUGGAAUUCCACGUGUAGCAGUGAAAUGCGUAGAGAUGUGGAGGAACACCGAUGGCGAAGGCAGCCCCCUGGGUUAACACUGACGCUCAGGCACGAAAGCGUGGGGAGCAAACAGGA
RNAcentral lists this ribosomal RNA (253 nucleotides) under uncultured prokaryote. RNAcentral describes it as "partial 16S ribosomal RNA". It matches the Rfam family "Bacterial small subunit ribosomal RNA", at positions 525 to 777 of the family's 1533-position model. The record is from RNAcentral.